UUUCUCCGCCGGCGACCGGCGCACGGGUGAGUAACACGUAUGCAACCUGCCCCUGUCAGGGGGGCAACCCGCCGAAAGGCGGGCUAAACCCGCGUACAUGCCACCGGGGCAUCCCGGAGGCAGGAAAGGCUUCGGCCGGACAGGGAUGGGCAUGCGGCGCAUUAGGCAGUAGGCGGGGUAACGGCCCACCUAACCGACGAUGCGUAGGGGUUCUGAGAGGAAGGCCCCCACACUGGUACUGAGACACGGACCAGACUCCUACGGGAGGCAGCAG
This 274-nucleotide ribosomal RNA is filed under the name uncultured bacterium. Its description in RNAcentral is "partial 16S ribosomal RNA". It matches the Rfam family "Bacterial small subunit ribosomal RNA", at positions 80 to 354 of the family's 1533-position model. The record is from RNAcentral.